GUGCUUGCUUCAGCAGCACAUAUACUAAAAAUGAAAACAAUACAGAAAAGAUUAGCAUGGUCCCUGUGCAAAUUUGACAUGCAAAUUCAGGAAGCAUUUCAUAUUUUU
This is a small nuclear RNA of Dromiciops gliroides (monito del monte), 108 nucleotides long. Lineage: Eukaryota; Metazoa; Chordata; Mammalia; Microbiotheria; Microbiotheriidae. The record is from RefSeq and is a predicted model, not a curated record.